RNAcentral lists this non-coding RNA (893 nucleotides) under Blumeria hordei DH14. RNAcentral's name for it is "Blumeria graminis f. sp. hordei DH14 Eukaryotic large subunit ribosomal RNA". It matches the Rfam family "Eukaryotic large subunit ribosomal RNA", at positions 1 to 911 of the family's 3401-position model. The record is from Rfam by way of RNAcentral. Lineage: Eukaryota; Fungi; Ascomycota; Leotiomycetes; Helotiales; Erysiphaceae.
UGACCUCGAAUCAGGUAGGGAUACCCGCUGAACUUAAGCAUAUCAAUAAGCGGAGGAAAAGAAACCAACAGGGAUUACCUCAGUAACGGCGAGUGAAGCGGUAACAGCUCAAAUUUGAAAUCUGGUCCGGUUACGGGCCCGAGUUGUAAUUUGUAGAAGAUGCUUUGGAAUGAGUCCGGCCUAAGUUCCUUGGAACAGGACGUCAUAGAGGGUGAGAACCCCGUAUGCGGCCGAGUACUCAGUGCCAUGUAAAGCUCUUUCGACGAGUCGAGUUGUUUGGGAAUGCAGCUCAAAAUGGGUGGUAAAUUUCAUCUAAAGCUAAAUAUUGGCCAGAGACCGAUAGCGCACAAGUAGAGUGAUCGAAAGAUGAAAAGCACUUUGGAAAGAGAGUUAAACAGUACGUGAAAUUGUUGAAAGGGAAGCGCUUGCAACCAGACUUGGGCACUGUGGAUCAUCCGAGGUUCUCCUCGGUGCACUCGGCAGUGCGCAGGCCAGCAUCAGUUUGGGUGGUUGGAUAAAGACUUGUGGAAUGUAGCUCCUUUCGGGGAGUGUUAUAGCCACAGGUGCCAUGCGACCAACCCGGACUGAGGACCGCGCUUCGGCUAGGAUGCUGGCGUAAUGGUUGUAAGCGACCCGUCUUGAAACACGGACCAAGGAGUCUAACAUCUAUGCGAGUGUUUGGGUGUUAAACCCAUACGCGGAAUGAAAGUGAACGUAGGUGAGAACCUGUAAGGGGGCAUCAUCGACCGAUCCGGAUGUCUUCGGAUGGAUUUGAGUAAGAGCAUAGCUGUUGGGACCCGAAAGAUGGUGAACUAUGCCUGAAUAGGGUGAAGCCAGAGGAAACUCUGGUGGAGGCUCGCAGCGGUUCUGACGUGCAAAUCGAUCGUCAAAUU